Long non-coding RNA from Rattus norvegicus (Norway rat), 2624 nucleotides. RefSeq lists it as uncharacterized. Lineage: Eukaryota; Metazoa; Chordata; Mammalia; Rodentia; Muridae. The record is from RefSeq and is a predicted model, not a curated record.
AGGGCUUCUUGGCUGCUCAGCCCCAAGAGGGAGGGUGGCAGGGGCUCCACAGUGCCAUGGACCCUCCCAAACCCAUGCCAGCCUGCUGGGGAAGUCUCGGCUGUGGCAGAAAUCCAGAAACCUUAAGCAGAUGCCUGUCACCCUGUCACCCUGAGCAUGAAACUGUCACCUCCAUCAGGAGGGUGAGACAGCUCAGAGCUGCUGAGGUGUCUGUAGGCUACAGAGGCAAGGCUGGAGGUGCUGGGAUUCAUGCCACAAUCAUGCCACCACACCUGGAUAUUUACAUGGGUGCUGGGGAUCCAAUCUCAGGUCCUCAGGCAUUCACAGAAAGCACUUCACCAGCCAAAGUAUCUCCCAGACCACUUCGCUUUGGAAGUUGUGUUUUGGACCUUCUUAAAGCCACAGUAUCCUUCCAGCCUCCUUUGCAAACUACAAGUGGCUUCUGAGAAGGCUCUGAAGUUCUGACAAGGUAGCCUGGGCAUGUUUCAAGACAAAAGCAGAGGAGCAAGAACAGGGAAAUCCCCACGUGCUUUCUCAAGUUCUAGUCACACCUGAUUGGUUGCCGUCCCAGUGGCCAGAUCUGGACCAGACCAGAGUCAGAGUGAGAAGGGCAGAGGCACAGGGAGCUGUGAAGACCCAGACCCAUCACUGCAUCAGGGAGCCCAGCCCUGUACCACAAAGCUAUCAAGAGCGGCUAUAGGACACCCUGCAAGGGAAGGUGCCUCAUGGAGGGUGCCCCUCAGGACAGAGGACUUUCUGUGUCACAAGGAGGCAGGGUCUUGACAUAUCCUCUGCAUGAACCUGACAAGUCUGGUUUGGAGAAGCUCAAUUCAGAGCUGGUCGAAGCUAGAGUUCACUCAACUGGGCUGUGGCUGCUCCAUGCUGGAACCCCGUCUGCUGUGCUUUCUGUCUUUCCUGUGCCUUUGACCCUAUGCACUGCCUUCCCACAUCACUUCCAGCCUGAACCUGCUCCAGCCCAUGAAGAACAGGAAACAGCAAACAUAAGACCAGUGUUCAUGGGGGACCAGGCAGUGCCAGGUGCUGAGAUCACAGGAAAGGCUGGCCCCCACUCUAGCCUGUGUGCUCAGCUUUGGGGACCAGGACCCUUUUGUGAGAACCCUCCUUUUAGCAAAUGUUGAGCCCUUUCAAAGCUCUUGCCCCUUCUGUUCCCUGGGAGGUGGAUCUGAUGACGGCCAUCUUCAUGUUUAAAUACAUGAGAACCCAAUACCAAGAUGAGUCAAUCAACACACCGGCUUCGGCUCACACAUCACAUAUAUGGCAGUCUUGUCUAAAAUGCCCAUAUCUGAAACCCACAAAGGCCCCUCGCAGAACACCCACCCCCUAGCUUAUCUCAUUUAGCAGGUGACAGGUUCUGUCCAUUCCCAAGAGCUUUGAGAGAUUCUGUCUCCCCGUCCUUCUCAUGGGCUUCUCAGACCCACCCCCUCUUCUGUACCCUGCUGGCCUCUGCCACCUCUCUGUCCUCUCCCUGGCUGGCUCUUCUCUGCUGAUGAAGGAAGCUUGUCUAUGAACGGCUAAAGUGCCUAGAAUCUCUUAUAAAUAUUUCAUGAAAAUAUCUGCCGUAAUAAUUCCAGCCUGUUGAUGCCAACACUGUCACACCUGUACAUUUUAACUGGCCUAAGCAAGCUGGCUCUAAUUGGUGCCUGGAAUUCCAGCAAAGCUGGCUUGGCAGUGAAACAGACAAUUGAGUUCUACAGAGAAUGAGGGAUCGUUUUUAGCUUUGCCAUGUCCUAGAGACCAGAGGCAAUGGGCACAGCAGGGAGAGAGGGGAGGCUCAUGACUUACCCGCGCAUGUGGCACCCUGAGCUUAUACACCUGCCUGGAUUAAUAGGAGUUAUAGAGGCCCCCAGAGGCUCAGCUGCUGGGAGCAGGGGAACCUCAGAGGCAGGACUCAGGCUUGAGAAAAUGGGGACUUUGAUGUUUUCUGCACCAUGAGCCCUGCAACCUUCUGGUAGAGGCCAUGGAAUCUUUCUCAUAACUGGUUAAAAUACAUAAAGUGAGCACGGUUAAUGCAGAGACUCGUGAUUGGCCAAAGUGCUGAGAAUACGGGACUGAGACCUAAAAAGAACGAUUGGAAUGGCCCCCAACUCGAAGGCUCAGAAUGUUGCUGAAGGAGACGCAGAAGAGCCGGUUGGUGGGGAAGAACGUUGUGACUUGCUGUCCUCUGGAUAGGACAUCACUGUUGCACGCCUAAACUUACAGCAGUUUUGGUUACCCGCACAAGUUUCAGAAUGGUCAGGGAGGGGCUUAAGAGGCCCCGCCCCUGAGGAGCUAUUGGCCAUUGACGGCUGCUGGGGGAGGGAUAACAAUUUUUCCCUGGAGUUGUGGCUGGUAGGUUGCCCAUGCUCCAGUGAUCCUACAACCACACCCAUACCGCCAGCUCUAACUGGGCAUGGUAGGAUCUUAAACUACAUAAAAAGAGAACCUGAAGUUGGAAGGUGGGCAUAGUGGGGUUGAAAGAUUCAGAGGUUGGAGAAAGAAGUGGAGGGUGAAUAUGAUCAUAAUACAUGAAGAAAUAAUAAUUUAUAACAAUAAUUUCAUAGAUGACAUUCUCAAAGAAAAAAUAUAAAAUGUUUUAAAAAUAAAAAGACACAAAGUGUAUGUGA